AGCGGCGGACGGGUGAGGAAUGCGUCGGAAUCUGCCUUGUUGUGGGGGAUAACGUAGGGAAACUUACGCUAAUACCGCAUAAGACCGAAAGGUGAAAGUGGGGGACCGCAAGGCCUCACGCGACAAGAUGAGCCGACGCCGGAUUAGCUAGUUGGUGGGGUAAAGGCCCACCAAGGCGACGAUCCGUAGCUGGUCUGAGAGGAUGAUCAGCCACACUGGGACUGAGACACGGCCCAGACUCCUACGGGAGGCAGCAGUGGGGAAUAUUGGACAAUGGGCGCAAGCCUGAUCCAGCCAUGCCGCGUGGGUGAAGAAGGCCUUCGGGUUGUAAAGCCCUUUUGUUGGGAAAGAAAUCCUGUCGGUUAAUACCUGACGGGGAUGACGGUACCCAAAGAAUAAGCACCGGCUAACUUCGUGCCAGCAGCCGCGGUAAUACGAAGGGUGCAAGCGUUACUCGGAAUUACUGGGCGUAAAGCGCGCGUAGGCGGUUCGUUAAGUCUGUCGUGAAAGCCCUGGGCUCAACCUGGGAAUUGCGAUGGAUACUGGCGAGCUAGAGUAUGGUAGAGGGUGGUGGAAUUUCCUGUGUAGCGGUGAAAUGCGU
Molecule: ribosomal RNA, 601 nt
Filed under: uncultured Pseudoxanthomonas sp.
Lineage: Bacteria; Pseudomonadati; Pseudomonadota; Gammaproteobacteria; Lysobacterales; Lysobacteraceae
Description: bacterial SSU rRNA
Rfam family: Bacterial small subunit ribosomal RNA
Source: RNAcentral